AACGUAGGGGGCGAGCGUUAUCCGGAUUUAUUGGGCGUAAAGCGCACGUAGGUGGCAUUGCAAGUUAGGCGUGAAAGCUCCUGGCUUAACUGGGAGAGGUCGUCUAAUACUGCAAUGCUUGAGGUUGGAAGAGGAGAGUGGAAUUCCCGGUGUAGUGGUGGAAUGCGUAGAUAUCGGGAGGAACACCAGUGGCGAAGGCGACUCUCUGGUCCACACCUGACGUUGAGGUGCGAAAGCGUGGGGAGCGAACGGG
Molecule: ribosomal RNA, 253 nt
Filed under: uncultured bacterium
Lineage: Bacteria
Description: partial 16S ribosomal RNA
Rfam family: Bacterial small subunit ribosomal RNA
Source: RNAcentral